This 504-nucleotide long non-coding RNA is filed under the name Trifolium pratense (red clover). Its description in RNAcentral is "long non-coding RNA (TPRA_LNC003841)". Lineage: Eukaryota; Viridiplantae; Streptophyta; Magnoliopsida; Fabales; Fabaceae. The record is from RNAcentral.
ACUGAAAUUUUAACUACUAAGCUACUAUAGAAAAAAAUGUAUCUAAUGACUAUAUAUUUUAGUUUUUUACAAUUGUCUCAUGUAUAUGAUAUGAUAUUUGAACUAUAUAUCCGUUGAGAUUACAAAAUCAUUGUGAAAAUGAAAGACAAAUACACAUAAAAGCAAUGCAUUUUGCAACAUAAGAAUCUGGACACAACAAGGGUGGACAAUCAGAAUCCUUCUCGCAAUCCGGGGAACUCUGUGCUGCGAUAUGGAAAAAAAAGAACAAAUAUUACUGGAAUGGAUGAAAGAUCAAGAAAGUUCAAAAGAUAUGAAAAUGGUUUACCAUCAACAUGAGUUACAACAAGCAGCAAGGAAAUAAAGAGGAUGGUGAAAUAAACAAACUUAAUAAUUUGAGACAUAUUUUUUCUCUUAAGCUUAUAACAAAUUGAAAUUUAUUGAUCACUUUAAAAAAGUCCUAUGUUUAGUUUACUUGAUUGAAUAAAUAUUUUUUUUUCACUUUUA